GUCCAGACUCCUACGGGAGGCAGCAGUGGGGAAUAUUGGGCAAUGGGCGCAAGCCUGACCCAGCAACGCCGCGUGAAGGAAGAAGGCUUUCGGGUUGUAAACUUCUUUUGACAGGGAAGAGUAGAAGACGGUACCUGUCGAAUAAGCCACGGCUAACUACGUGCCAGCAGCCGCGGUAAUACGGGGGAUGCAAGCGUUGUCCGGAAUCAUUGGGCGUAAAGAGUUCGUAGGUGGCACGUUAAGUCUGGUGUUAAAUGCAGAGGCUCAACCUCUGUUCGGCACUGGAUACUGGCGAGCUUGAAUGCGGUAGAGGUAAAGGGAAUUCCUGGUGUAGCGGUGAAAUGCGUAGAUAUCAGGAGGAACAUCGGUGGCGUAAGCGCCUUACUGGGCCGUAAUUGACACUGAGGAACGAAAGCCAGGGUAGCAAAUGGGAUUAGAUACCCGAGUAUC
RNAcentral lists this ribosomal RNA (450 nucleotides) under uncultured bacterium. RNAcentral describes it as "bacterial SSU rRNA". It matches the Rfam family "Bacterial small subunit ribosomal RNA", at positions 329 to 794 of the family's 1533-position model. The record is from RNAcentral.